UACGUAGGCAGCGAGCGUUGUUCGGAGUUACUGGGCGUAAAGGGCUCGUAGGCGGCCAACUAAGUCCGACGUGAAAUCCCAAGGCUUAACCUUGGAACUGCGUCGGAUACUGGAUGGCUUGAAUUCGGGAGAGGGAUGCAGAAUUCCAGGUGUAGCGGUGAAAUGCGUAGAUAUCUGGAGGAAUACCGGUGGCGAAGGCGGCAUCCUGGACCGACAUUGACGCUGAUGAGCGAAAGCUAGGGGAGCAAACGGG
RNAcentral lists this ribosomal RNA (253 nucleotides) under uncultured bacterium. Its description in RNAcentral is "partial 16S ribosomal RNA". It matches the Rfam family "Bacterial small subunit ribosomal RNA", at positions 524 to 776 of the family's 1533-position model. The record is from RNAcentral.